GGGUUGUGAGGUUAAGCGACUAAGCGUACACGGUGGAUGCCCUGGCAGUCAGAGGCGAUGAAGGGCGUGCUAAUCUGCGAUAAGCGCCGGUAAGGUGAUAUGAACCGUUAUAACCGGCGAUACCCGAAUGGGGAAACCCAGUGUGACUCGUCACACUAUCAUUAACUGAAUCCAUAGGUUAAUGAGGCGAACCGGGGGAACUGAAACAUCUAAGUACCCCGAGGAAAAGAAAUCAACCGAGAUUCCCCCAGUAGCGGCGAGCGAACGGGGAGGAGCCCAGAGCCUGAAUCAGCAUGUGUGUUAGUGGAAGCGUCUGGAAAGGCGCGCGAUACAGGGUGACAGCCCCGUACACAAAAGCGCAUGUGCUGUGAGCUCGAUGAGUAGGGCGGGACACGUGGUAUCCUGUCUGAAUAUGGGGGGACCAUCCUCCAAGGCUAAAUACUCCUGACUGACCGAUAGUGAACCAGUACCGUGAGGGAAAGGCGAAAAGAACCCCGGCGAGGGGAGUGAAAAAGAACCUGAAACCGUGUACGUACAAGCAGUGGGAGCACAGGUUUACCUGUGUGACUGCGUACCUUUUGUAUAAUGGGUCAGCGACUUAUAUUCUGUAGCAAGGUUAACCGAAUAGGGGAGCCGGAGGGAAACCGAGUCUUAAUUGGGCGUUAAGUUGCAGGGUAUAGACCCGAAACCCGGUGAUCUAGCCAUGGGCAGGUUGAAGGUUGGGUAACACUAACUGGAGGACCGAACCGACUAAUGUUGAAAAAUUAGCGGAUGACCUGUGGCUGGGGGUGAAAGGCCAAUCAAACCGGGAGAUAGCUGGUUCUCCCCGAAAGCUAUUUAGGUAGCGCCUCGUGAAUUCAUCUCCGGGGGUAGAGCACUGUUUCGGCUAGGGGGCCAUCCCGGCUUACCAACCCGAUGCAAACUGCGAAUACCGGAGAAUGUUAUCACGGGAGACACACGGCGGGUGCUAACGUCCGUCGUGAAGAGGGAAACAACCCAGACCGCCAGCUAAGGUCCCAAAGUCAUGGUUAAGUGGGAAACGAUGUGGGAAGGCCCAGACAGCCAGGAUGUUGGCUUAGAAGCAGCCAUCAUUUAAAGAAAGCGUAAUAGCUCACUGGUCGAGUCGGCCUGCGCGGAAGAUGUAACGGGGCUAAACCAUGCACCGAAGCUGCGGCAGCGACGCUGAUGCGUUGUUGGGUAGGGGAGCGUUCUGUAAGCCUGCGAAGGUGGCCUGUGAGGGUUGCUGGAGGUAUCAGAAGUGCGAAUGCUGACAUAAGUAACGAUAAAGCGGGUGAAAAGCCCGCUCGCCGGAAGACCAAGGGUUCCUGUCCAACGUUAAUCGGGGCAGGGUGAGUCGACCCCUAAGGCGAGGCCGAAAGGCGUAGUCGAUGGGAAACGGGUUAAUAUUCCCGUACUUGGUGUUACUGCGAAGGGGGGACGGAGAAGGCUAUGUUGGCCGGGCGACGGUUGUCCCGGUUUAAGCGUGUAGGUGUGUGUUCCAGGUAAAUCCGGUUCACUUUAACACUGAGGCGUGAUGACGAGGCACUACGGUGCUGAAGCAACAAAUGCCCUGCUUCCAGGAAAAGCCUCUAAGCAUCAGGUAACAUCAAAUCGUACCCCAAACCGACACAGGUGGUCAGGUAGAGAAUACCAAGGCGCUUGAGAGAACUCGGGUGAAGGAACUAGGCAAAAUGGUGCCGUAACUUCGGGAGAAGGCACGCUGACACGUAGGUGAAGUGAUUUACUCAUGGAGCUGAAGUCAGUCGAAGAUACCAGCUGGCUGCAACUGUUUAUUAAAAACACAGCACUGUGCAAACACGAAAGUGGACGUAUACGGUGUGACGCCUGCCCGGUGCCGGAAGGUUAAUUGAUGGGGUCAGCGCAAGCGAAGCUCCUGAUCGAAGCCCCGGUAAACGGCGGCCGUAACUAUAACGGUCCUAAGGUAGCGAAAUUCCUUGUCGGGUAAGUUCCGACCUGCACGAAUGGCGUAAUGAUGGCCAGGCUGUCUCCACCCGAGACUCAGUGAAAUUGAACUCGCUGUGAAGAUGCAGUGUACCCGCGGCAAGACGGAAAGACCCCGUGAACCUUUACUAUAGCUUGACACUGAACAUUGAGCCUUGAUGUGUAGGAUAGGUGGGAGGCUUUGAAGUGUGG
This 2154-nucleotide ribosomal RNA is filed under the name Salmonella enterica subsp. enterica serovar Brandenburg. RNAcentral's name for it is "partial 23S ribosomal RNA". It matches the Rfam family "Bacterial large subunit ribosomal RNA", at positions 1 to 2167 of the family's 2925-position model. The record is from RNAcentral. Lineage: Bacteria; Pseudomonadati; Pseudomonadota; Gammaproteobacteria; Enterobacterales; Enterobacteriaceae.